Molecule: small RNA, 127 nt
Filed under: Marmota monax (woodchuck)
Lineage: Eukaryota; Metazoa; Chordata; Mammalia; Rodentia; Sciuridae
Source: RNAcentral
GCUGGGUGCAGUGGUGCAAGCCUGUAAUCCCAAUGGCUUAGGGAGGCUGAGGCAGGGGAAUCGUGAGUUCAAAGCCAGCCCCAGCAACUUAGCAAGCCUUAAGCAACUCAGCGAGACCCUGUCUCUA